AGAGUUCCAUUCUGGCUCAGGAUGAACGCUGGCGGCGUGCCUAAUACAUGCAAGUCGAACGCUUCUCUUCCGUGAAGAGUGGCUAACGGGUGAAUAAUACAUAAAUAACCGGGCAUCUAGCGGGGGAUAACUGAUGGAAACCUCAACUAAGACCCCAUAAGUGUAUAGAUCGCAUGAACUCUAUGUGAAAAGUGCUACGGGACUGGUACAUGAUGGACUUAUGGCGCAUUAGCUGGUUGGUAGGGUAACGGCCUACCCUGGCGACGAUGCGUACCCGACCUGAGAGGGUGACCGGCCACACUGGGACCGAGACACGGCCCAGACUCCUACGGGAGGCAGCAGUAGGGAAUUUUCGGCAAUGGGGGAAACCCUGACCGAGCAACGCCGCGUGAAGGAAGAAGUAAUUCGUUAUGUAAACUUCUGUCAUAGAGGAAGAACGGUGGAUAUAGGGAAUGAUAUACAAGUGACGGUACUCUAUAAGAAAGCCACGGCUAACUACGCGCCAGCAGCCGCGGUAAUACGUAGGUGGCGAGCGUUAUCCGGAAUUAUUGGGAGUAAAGAGGGAGCAGGCGGCACUAAGGGUCUGUGGUGAAAGAUCGAAGCUUAACUUCGGUAAGCCAUGGAAACCGUAGAGCUAGAGUGUGUGAGAGGAUCGUGGAAUUCCAUGUGUAGCGGUGAAAUGCGUAGAUAUAUGGAGGAACACCAGUGGCGAAGGCGACGAUCUGGCGCAUAACUGACGCUCAGUCCCGAAAG
This 753-nucleotide ribosomal RNA is filed under the name uncultured bacterium. Its description in RNAcentral is "bacterial SSU rRNA". It matches the Rfam family "Bacterial small subunit ribosomal RNA", at positions 8 to 759 of the family's 1533-position model. The record is from RNAcentral.